UUGUUUGUGAAUAGCUACUCAAAAUAAUAAGAUUUACACGCUCUGAAAAUGACCUUUUUGUCUAAAACUCUACGAAAAACAUGGCCGCGGUGUGCAAAUAAUGAGUUGCUUAUUUCAAAACUGUCCUAUUAUUCUUCAGUAAAACUUCUUGUUAAUUUAAGACUCUAAUAACUUGCUUGACAUACCCAUAGGCAAAUAUCUGUUAUCGGUGUAAUUACACCUUUGGAGAAAAGCGUGAUUCGCACGUUUUAAUUUCAUCAUUCGCCGCCUGAAGAGACAAGAUGGCGGAGCUUGCGAAAUCGAAAAUUGGUACUUGAAAGUCAAUGGUUGAUCAUGAUGACCAUCUUUUUUUUAAUGGAGAAAGAAACCAAUAUUUGCAGCUGGACAGGUUGUCACCACAGUUCAAUGAUUUAGGUCAGACAUCAGCUUUUGAAGUUGCUUUCUUGGCACAUCAUGCUGUCCAGUGGAGUUCAAACCAUAUGCCAGGCCUUUAUACAUGGUCAAAGAAGAUGAAUUUGUUAUUCAAUUUGUGAAAUUUGAUUUAGCGAGGACUUUCAUAUAUGAUGAUUAUAUUCAGCAGAUUAUCCUCAAGUGUGCACUUUCUAGAAUCACAGUUUCUAGGAGGUUUUCAGUUUAAAGUUAGAUUAAUUGAAAAAUAAGGGGAGCUAUCAUACUCACCAUGGUAUCGACAUUGGCAUUACACCAGGUUUAAGUUUUUCUUACCAGUCCAUAUUUUAAAAGGACCUUUUGACAGUAUUGAAACUUACAACAGUAAUGUAUCAUCAUUAUACCAAGUUUUAGGCAAGAGUACAUAACUCCAUCAAGGAUUUGACUGAACUAUGGCCCUUUGAAACUUUUGUCACUUGUUUAUAAUAAUAGUCUCUCUAUAUAGGCAAGAGUUCAUAACACUAUAGAGUAUUUUGGAUGAAUUAUGUCCCUUUUGGACUUUGAAAUUGGUUCAGUUUUUGUACAGGUCCACAUUUUGACAAAACAUUUUGACAUAUAGCUUUGAAUCUUUCAACACUAAGUCUUACCAUUACAAUAAUAUAACUUAAAAUAGUUGUUCAACAUCAUCAAUCAUCACCCACAUCAUAUUACACAAGAUGCAUAACUCUUGCACUAAAAUUUAUUGAAUUGUGCCCGUUUUGCUUAAAAUGUACUUUGUAUAGUGUUUUGAUACACUUUAUUUUUAUCUCUCAUAUUACUUAAUAUUUUUAAAACAGACUUAGUUAUUAUGCAAUAUCUUCAUCCGCCGUUGGAGUCAUUAAACACAAUAGUGACAGCUCCAGUGUUCUCAGAUGUGCCCAGGCUCACUAUCCAGCACCGAAAUAGUCGAGCAUGCUAACUGAGACAAUCAGGUAGAUAACUAUGGACAGAUUUUAUGUCAAAUCACCUCCCUUUAUUUCAAAUUGAAAUGGGUACAUCAGUGUAACUAAUGAAGAUACUGUUAUGCCAUCAGAUUGACUUGGACACUCAGUGAAGAUACAUAUUGACUGCAUUUAUGACAAAAGUACCUCCCUUUAUUUUUUAGCUCACCUGAGCAAUGCUCAGGUGAGUUUUUCUGAUCGCUCGAUGUCCGGCGUCCGUCGUCUGUCGUCUGUCGUCUGUCAACAUUUAGCUUGUGUAUGCGAUAGAGGCUGUAUUUUUCAAUUAAUCUUCAUGAAUAUUGGUCAGAAUGAUAACCUUGAUGAAAUCUAGGCCGAGUUCGAAAAUGGGUCAUCUCGGGUCAAAAACUAGGUCACUAGGUCAAAUCAAAGAAAAACCUUGUGUAUGCGAUAGAGGCUGUAUUUUUCAAUUAAUCUUCAUGAAUAUUGGUCAGAAUGAUAAUCUUGAUGAAAUCUAGGCCAAGUUUGAAAAUGGGUCAUCUUGGGUCAAAAACUAGGUCACUAGGUCAAAUCAAAGAAAAACCUUGUGCAUGCGAUAGAGGCUGUAUUUUUCAAUUGAUCUCCAUGAAUAUUGGUCAGAAUGAUUGCCUUGAUGAAAUCUAAGCCGAGUUCGAAAAUGGGUUAUCUCGGGUCAAAAACUAGGUCACUAGGUCAAAUCAAAGAAAAACCUUGUGUAUGCGAUAAAGGCUGUAUUUUUCAAUUGAUCUUCAUGAAUAUUGGUUAGAAUGAUUGCCUUAAUAAAAUCUAGGCCAAGUUCGAAAAUGGGUUAUCUCGGGUCAAAAACUAGGUCACUAGGUCAAAUCAAAGAAAAACCUUGUGUAUGCGAUAGAGGCUGAAUUUUUCAUUUAUUCUUCAUGAAUAUUGGUCAUAAUGAUUAUCUUGAUGAAAUCUAGGCCGAGUUCGAAAAUGAAUCAUCUCGGAUUAAAAAGAAGGUCACUAGGUCAAAUCAAAGAAAAACCUUGUGUAUGCGAUAGAGGCUGUAUUUUUCAAUUGAUCUUCAUGAAUAUUGGUCAGAAUGAUUGCCUUGAUGAAAUCUAAGCCGAGUUUGAAAAUGGGUCAUCUUGGGUCAAAAACUAGGUCACUAGGUCAAAUCAAAGAAAAACCUUGUGUAUGCAACAGAGGCGGUAUUUUUCAAUUGAUCUUCAUGAAUUUUGGUCAGAAUGAUUGCCUUGAUGAAAUCUAGGCUGAGUUCGAAAAUUGGUCAUCUGGGGUCAAAAACUAGGUCACUAGGUCAAAUUAAGGAAAAACCUUGUGUAUGCAAUAGAGGCUGUAUUUUUCAAUUGAUCUUCAUGAAAUUUGGUUAGAGUGAUUGCCUUGAUGAAAUCUAGGUCGAGUUUGAAUAUGGGUAAUCUGAGGUCAAAAACUAGGUCACUAGGUCAAACUAAAGAAAAAUCUUGUGUAUGCGGAUAGAGACUGUUUUUUUUUUUUUCAAUUGAUUUUUAUGAAAUUUGGUCAGGAUGAUUGCCUUAAUGAAAUCUAGGUCGAAUUUGAAUAUGGGUUAUCUGAGGUCAAAAACUAGGUCACUUGGUCAAAUCAAAGAAAAAACUUGUGUAUGUGAUAGAGGCUGUAUUUUUCAAUUGAUCUUCAUGAAUUUUGGUCAAAAUGAUUGCCUUGAUAAAAUCUAGGUCGAGUUUGAACAUGGGUCAUCUAGGGUCAAAAACUAGGUCAUAUCUAAGAAAAUGCUUGUUUUAUCGCAAGAGACCAAUUUUUUGGCCCAAUCUUAAUGAAAAUUGGUCAGAAUAUUUGUUUCCAUGAAAUCACUAGGUCAAACAUGUUUUACACUGUUAUGGUGUGUUCUUAGGUGAGCAACCUAGGGCCAUCUUGGCCCUCUUGUUAUGUAAAUGAAUAUAUUUAGUAGCUUCUAAUGAAAUUGGUUUGAAAGGUUUUUUAUGUCUUCCAUGGUAAGAUAUAGUCAUGUUAGAUAACUCUUGCUUGAAUGUUUAUAGAUAUGAAUACUUCUCUUAUAUAUUAUUGUGAAACUUGUACUGUGUAUCUUCUACAUGCAUGUACCAAUACAUGAUUACCUUCCCUGAUUUUUAUAAAAAUGGAUUUAUCUCAGUAAGCACAUAUAUAGGACUCAUUUAAAAUUUCAUUAUUGUCAUUAGUUGGACAGAGACAAUUAUUGUAGAUUAUAUUGACUGAUUUUAUGCCAAGUUACAUUCCUUCGUUUCUUGUUAAAAUAGGUGUAUCUCAGUAACCAAUGAAGAUACUGAUUUGAAGUGUCAUUUAUGCAAUGAGAUGGACACGGACAAUCAGGGUAGAUAACUUUUGACUGGAUUUAUGACAGAUAACCUCCCUUUAUUUUAUGUAAAUGAAUAUAUAUCUCAGCAGCAUCUAAUGAGAUUGCUUUAAAAUGUUAUGUAAGUCUUCCAGGGUAAGAAAUAGUCAUGCCAGUACAAAAAUGCAGCAUUUGAGCCUAGGACCCUCAAACAUGAUAUGAAGAUUGGCCCUGACUAGUAUGUGACCCACAGGUCAAAAGGGACUGUUACAAUGAAUUUUUUAUCCUGAUGAUAUUUAAUGUGUAGCACUCUCGUCUAAAGUAUUUUUGAUUUAUAUGGAAAACAGCAGUGUUGGACAGAAUUGGAUGAAAAGUACAUUGUUAGAACUUCAAAUAUGCAACAUAAAGGUGAAUAUAGGUAAAUUUAUAAA
Mercenaria mercenaria is the source of this 4034-nucleotide long non-coding RNA. RefSeq lists it as uncharacterized. The transcript has 3 exons. The record is from RefSeq and is a predicted model, not a curated record. Lineage: Eukaryota; Metazoa; Mollusca; Bivalvia; Venerida; Veneridae.